Molecule: long non-coding RNA, 1053 nt
Organism: Neofelis nebulosa (Clouded leopard)
Lineage: Eukaryota; Metazoa; Chordata; Mammalia; Carnivora; Felidae
Exons: 2
Source: RefSeq, a predicted model, not a curated record
GAUUCCAAGUCUGGUUCUUCCCAUUACAUUGUUACGUUUACAUAAUUUGCCACAGACAUAGUCUUCUCAAGGUGGUUCCAAAUUUUUUAAAAAUAAAUCUCCUGAAGUAUUGUUGCUGUUGUUGUUGUUAUUCUAACUCUGUUGUUAAUGUAGAGGUAACACCCUAAAGGUCAAGAUCUAAAAGAACGAAAUGCUUAGCUCUUACGUAAUUAGAGCUUUUUAGAAAUACUCCUUUUUAAAUAAGUUUGGUUUUAGAGAAGAUUACAAAGAUUGUACAGAAUGUUCCCAUAUAUCUGUCCCCCAGUUUCUCCUGUUAACAUUUCACAUAGUAAGGACAGGAACUAGGGGCACAGAGCUGAAGGAGACGUCCAUGCCUACAUGCCAGCCCUGCACUUGCCCACUCCAGAAGGUGAGUGCUUCCUUCGAUUUUGUUCCUUAGGCACAUCACCUGCCUCGCCAUAGUCCUAGCCCUAUUUCUCAAAGCUGAGGAAUUAACAUUCACAUUAUACUAUUAACUGCACUGCAGACUUUGUUAAAAUUUUUUUUUUUAAUGUUUAUUCAUUUUCGAGAGACAGAGCGCGAGUGGGGGUGGGGCAGAGAGAGGGAGCCACAGAUCAGAAGCAGGCUCCAGGUUCUGGGCUGUCAGCACAGAGCCUGACAUGGGGCUCGAACGCUUGAACUGUGAUAUCAUGACCUGAGUCGAAGUCUGACACUCAAUACACUGAGCCACCCAUGCACCCCCAUACCUUGUUAAAUUUCAUUAGUGUUUCUGGUAAUGCCAUUUUUCUCUUCAGGAUCCAAUCCAGGAUUCUGCAUUGCAUUUAGUUGCUGCGUCUCCUUAGUCUCCUUCAAUCUGUUACAGUUUCUUGGUGUUUCCUCUUGAAUGAGCGCCCCUAAGCUUAUCUUCUAUCUUCCAAGCAAAACUCCUUAUUUUUUGUGUUAUAUACCAGUCAGUAUAUGUGAAUGGAGAUUCUUUGACACGUAAUAAGAAUGCUGGCAUUGUGGAAUUUAAAACUAAUUUUUGCAUUAAUAAAAAGCCUAUUUAAAAAAUGA